UUUUUUUUUUUUUUUUUCCUUUUUUCUUCUUUUUGAGAUAGGGUCUCACUCUGUCACCUGGGGUGGAGUGCAGUGGCAUGAUCUUAGCUCACUGUAGCCUCAAACUCCUGGGCUCAAGUGAUUAUCCCACCUAAGUUUCCCCAGUAGGUAGUACUACUAGUGUACUCCAUCAUGCACAGCUAAUUUUUUUUUCUUUUGGUAAAGACAGGGUCUCACUAUAUUGCCCAGGUUGGCGUCAAACCCCUGGUCCCAAGUGAUCCUCCCACUUUGGCUUCCCAACACUUUGGGAGGCCGAGGAGGGCAGAUCACCUGAAGUCGGGAAUUCGAGACCAGACUGACCAACAUGGAGAAACGCCAUCUCUACUAAAUAUACAAAAUUAGCUGGGCAUGGUGGCACAUGCCUGUAAUCCCAGCUACUUGGGAGGCUGGGGCAGGAGAAUUGCUUGAACCCAGAAGGCGGAGGUUGCAGUGAGCCGAGAUCGCACAAUUGCACUCCAGCCUGGGCAACAAGAGCGAAACUCUGUCUCCAAAAAAAAAUAUUAAUCAUGAAAUCUAUCUUCUCAAAGUUGUGAAUCACUCUUCUAUGACUCUAACAACUGUACUUUGUAAAAAAGUAAAGAAUGUCUGUAAAAUCAAAUUAAAAUCAUAAUCUCAAAAAUAAAAUUUCUUAUUCUAGUACAUAAGGAGUUUGGCGGAGGGAGGGCAGAAUAAUGUUCAAAUAUGCCAAUGACACUGAUUAUCUGCAGAUAAACAUGAUGAAACGAAAGUAUAAGGGCACUUAAAUAGAAAAAGCAAACUUCACAGAUUUGUAUGUGAAGCACAAAUCAGGUGAUCAUAGUAGACAGCAAGUAAAAGCCAGAAUUCCCGAAAGCAGGCUAUUGGGAGGCCUUUAAGAAAUGCAGCACGUAUGAGUGAAUGCUCUGUUAGCAUUCAGCACCAUUCCCACAUGGGCUGUAAGCCAUUCCGGGUGCUCCGCAGCCAUGGAUGGCAAGGGGCUACUGUAUUGGGCAGAGCAAGGCUGAGGGAAAACAAUACGGCUUACAGGCUCAUGAGGACGAGGUAAUUUUCUAAGAUCCAUUCCAGGCCCGAGGAAUCACAAAAUCUUAGGGUAUUAAAACAUCACUGGAGUCUUCAUUAACUCGUUUUAACUAAAUGUAUUUGAAUUUCAGAUUUCUAAGUAUGGAGAGUAUAAAUAGGAAGAAAAAAAAAAGCAGAAAUACAGGGGGGGGAAAUGAAUGAAGCAUUAGAUAAUUCCAGAAGAUUUUCCAGUUGGCCACAAAGACCUUUUUAAAAAUUAUUUUUAAUGUCCAAGCUGGGGGAAAAACCCUUCUAUUUAUGAAGAUCGACAGACUAGACUCACUUUAAAAAGGAGUGGAUCAUGAAGUCAGGAGAUCGAGGCCAUCCUGGCUAAGCUAAGCUACAGGCUGGGCAGGAGAAUGGCCUGAACUCGGGAGGCAGAGUUUGCAGUGAGCUGAGAUUGUGCCACUGCACUCCAGCCUGGGUGACAGAGCAAGACUCCAUCAAAAUAAAAUAAAAUUAAAAUUAAAAUUAAAGUAAAAUAAAAUAAAAUAAAAUAAAGGAGUGGAAUCAUAAGUAUUAACACCAGGGAUUGUUAGUAUCUAUCACAACUACCUCUAAUAGUAGCUUUGAAAGAGGAAACAUUCACUUUUAUUUGAAAUGGUGGGGGGAGCACUUUUUCUUCACACACUCGAUACUGAUUUGAAGCCCUAAUAGAAGAAUCAUAGAAUGACCUCAAAGUUCAACUAGUCUAAGCUUCUAGGACAGGCAGAAAUGGCAGUCACAUUAGCCCUGCUUAAACUCACCCCUUUGCAGAAGAACUGGUCAUUGAUUUUAGACUGUUGGGUUUUCCGAUAAUGAAAAAUCUUCCUUGGCACUGAUUAAUCUGGAAUUCAGCUUCCUACAGCUUUUAUCCACUUGUCUCAUCUCUGCCUUCUGAGGACAAAGACAGGAUCAAUGGACUUAAUUUUCCUAUAUAACUUGGAAACUUCUUGUAUCAA
Long non-coding RNA from Macaca fascicularis (crab-eating macaque), 2018 nucleotides. The record is from Ensembl. NCBI's taxonomy places the organism in Eukaryota, Metazoa, Chordata, Mammalia, Primates, Cercopithecidae.